UAAAGCGGCGUACGGGUGAGUAACACGUGGGUAAUCUACCUCUUAGUGGGGAAUAACCCUGGGAAACCGGGGCUAAUACCGCAUAAGCCUGAGAAGGGAAAGCAGCAAUGCGCUGAGAGAGGAGCCCGCGGCCGAUUAGCUAGUUGGUGAGGUAAUGGCUCACCAAGGCGGUGAUCGGUAGCCGGCCUGAGAGGGCACACGGCCACACUGGCACUGAAACACGGGCCAG
RNAcentral lists this ribosomal RNA (229 nucleotides) under uncultured bacterium. RNAcentral's name for it is "partial 16S ribosomal RNA". It matches the Rfam family "Bacterial small subunit ribosomal RNA", at positions 91 to 334 of the family's 1533-position model. The record is from RNAcentral.